This 446-nucleotide ribosomal RNA is filed under the name uncultured bacterium. Its description in RNAcentral is "bacterial SSU rRNA". It matches the Rfam family "Bacterial small subunit ribosomal RNA", at positions 335 to 793 of the family's 1533-position model. The record is from RNAcentral.
ACUCCUACGGGAGGCAGCAGUAGGGAAUCUUGCGCAAUGGGCGAAAGCCUGACGCAGCGACGCCGCGUGCGGGACGAAGGCCCUCGGGUUGUAAACCGCUUUCAGCAGGGACGAAGCGAAAGUGACGGUACCUGCAGAAGAAGGUCCGGCCAACUACGUGCCAGCAGCCGCGGUAAUACGUAGGGACCGAGCGUUGUCCGGAUUCAUUGGGCGUAAAGAGCUCGUAGGCGGCUGCUCAAGUCGAAUGUGAAAACUCGAGGCUCAACCUCGAGCCUGCAUUCGAUACUGGGCGGCUAGAGUCUGGUAGGGGGAUCUGGAAUUCCUGGUGUAGCGGUGGAAUGCGCAGAUAUCAGGAAGAACACCCAUGGCGAAAGCAGCUCUCUGGGACGGUACUGACGCUGAGACGCGAAAGCGUGGGGAGCGAACAGGAUUAGAUACCCUGGUAG